CCUUGUAUAGGCGUCGUCCCCGUAUGGAGCUGAUGAGUUUUGAUUUCUGUUUUCUGUAGAGUUUCCAGUCUCUCUGAGCACAACCUGAAUCUACAGACGUAAAUGAUGAUCCCUUUAUUUCUCUCGUCUCUUCUGAUGGUCUGAGAGAAUCUGUCCAUCAGCUGAGAGACAAACUGGAUGAUUUCUGCAAAGAUGAGCUCAAGAAGAUCUCAGGCAGAGGUGGUGUUGGCAGAGGCGUUGGAGCACACGGGUGACAUGGCCACGGUGUUCUUCUAGAUUUGAAGCAGCUGAAGGAGACGCAGAAGACGCUCCAGCAGAGAAUCCAGCAGAGAGAGAAAGAUCUCCAGCAGCUGAGAGAGACUGUGGAGUCUCAUAAGCGCUCUGCACAGACAGCAGUGGAGGAC
Molecule: long non-coding RNA, 404 nt
Organism: Cyprinus carpio carpio
Lineage: Eukaryota; Metazoa; Chordata; Actinopteri; Cypriniformes; Cyprinidae
Source: Ensembl